CUUAAACCUAGUCACUCUUAUCUUGUUCUGUUAUUUCUUCAGAGGGAGCUGGCACGUCAGACGCACAGUAUCAUCGAAUAUUACUGCCGACUGCUUCAGGAAGAUAAUUUCCCACCUUUGCGCACUGCCCUUUGCAUUGGAGGAAUGUCCGUCAAAGAGCAGAUGGAAACCAUCAAACAGUAAGUUCUGUGCUUUAACCAUUCGCAAAUGACAAUCCAUUUCUAACCUUCCCCUGUGCCUUUUUGUACUGAUUUAAACAUGUUUUACUCAGGCUAUAGAUGGUGCCUAAUGUGAGUUAUUCCAUAAUAAGUAAAUCCGUCAGGUUUUUUUAUACACAUUUUCCUACUGCCUUUUCUUCGUAGUGCACAUUACUGUAUUUAUACUCUGAAGACAACACAAAUGUUUCUACCGAAUGACUUUGUACAUAUGUUUAUUACUUGUUCAAGUUGUCAUUGGGACUUAACACGCAUCCACAGUCUAUCCCCUUUAGAGGCAGGGUCCCAGUGUUUUGGGGUGUUGUUUUUUGUUUCAGCCUAUUUAAUUUUUUAUUCUAUGUUGUAUGUGUACUUUGUGUCCAUUAGCAAAGGACAAGCUAAGUUUAGCUGUUUACAAAUUAAUAUCGGUUCAUAUUCGCAUGUGGAAAUAAUUUGAGUAACACAUCUGACGUAUACAUUGACAGAGUACAUGUCUCGGCCAACUUAUUCCUGGGCAUGGUGUGAAUAAGAAGGUAAACACCUGCUGAAUUCUGUCAACACUUAGAUUCCGUAAACACAUUCACACCUGCUUCUUACAGCCCAUUGACAUUGAGUAUCAGAGUGGAAAUAUCCGUUCCCUUCCUGGUCCAUCCUUUGUGAAUCAAACCAAAAACUUUAAACUAGUUAGUAAUCGCAUUUCUCACUACAGUCCGAUCUGCCUGCAGUGAAAUAAUCAAUCAUAAUAACUUUUAACCACUUGGAUACUUCUCUGAGUAAUGCAGUGCAGACAUAUAGUGUAUUUGUGGCAAUUGCUGCAAUCCUCCAAUCCAAUACAUUUGUAUGAGAAGCAAUAGCCACAUUUGCAGUCAUUAUUGAUAAUGCCGAAUGUGAAGUGCUUUGAAAAUCUAAGGAUGUAUAAGAGGAAGUGACUGGUUAUUUUUAAUAACAUGUACGUAAUACCAUUUCUAAAAAAUGGCAUUAUUUUACUUUAUCAGAGAAAAGGGGGCAAUGUCUAUCCACAAAAACUAAAAUAUUACGCUGUAAUGGUUUUGCUGCUUAAUAUGUCUCUUUGACCCCUUUAAUCCUGAGCACUAAUUGAUUGAAUAAAUGAUUAUCAUGAUUAAAUAUAAAAAAUAAAAUAUUUGGAGAAACCAGAAGCUUAAGACAGUAUACGGUGUUCUUUAUCUUUCAAUAUUUAACACAGACAGUAAGUGUGGCAAAAAUAGAUAAAAGGGUCAAUUGCUUUGCUUAUAGGUAUUUGUAAGGGCCCUGAAGACAUUACUAUCAGAACAGCUUACUAAAAUUGUCAACAGAAUGUAAAAGGAUUGUCUGCAUUUGAGCAGAUUGCCCAUAUAUAGUAAAUAUUUACCUAUUUUAUGACUGGUCGGACUUACAACCAGCUCUGUAGCAUGGGGUUUCGAAGGAUUCCCCACAUUAGAGAGCUGGUCUAUGUUCGGGGAAUUUUCCCUAAACAUAGAUUUCAGAGGUUCCCUGUGCUGUGAUAUUUUUGAUGGUAUUAAUAGUACAACAGUAAUAACCCCACCCUUAUUUCUCUUACCUCAAUGUAGGGGUGUACACAUGAUGGUUGCAACUCCUGGCCGACUUAUGGACCUGCUGCAAAAGAAGAUGGUGAGUUUGGACAUCUGCAGGUACCUGGCUCUGGAUGAGGCUGAUCGUAUGAUUGACAUGGGCUUUGAAGAAGACAUUAGAACCAUAUUCUCUUACUUCAAGGUACUUCUACUUAUUCAAAUUAUUCAUUAACUUGGAAGCAAUUGCACACGUAUUUAUCAGGCAUAUGUUCCGUUCCAACAAAACACGUUUGAUGGCAUGAUCUGCAGUGUAAUUAUGAAACAUUUCUUAUUGACAAAUAUUUUAAACUUUCUUCCUAAUGUUGUCAAUGCAUUAAAUAUUUUCAUAGUUGAAGAUAAAAUAAAAUUGUUUCAGGCAUAGAUCUUAUUAUACAUAUUAAACCUGCAGACCUGAUUGCUGUCAAGGUCACCUCAGUCUAUAAUCCUUUUAAGGUUAAUAUAAGUACUAGUUUAAUUCAAAUGGCCAAUACAAUCCUUCCUAGUAGGAUCCUCUCUUUAUUUAUUUAUAUUUGUGACAAUGUCAAGUAUAUUUCUUUAAAAAAAAUAGCCCUUUUCUCUCUCUACAUGGAGUAUUUGUCUUUUUGAGAGCAUAAUUAUUUACUCCCCAAACAGAUUAACUGUAUUUUAUCUAUUUUUAAAAAUGAUUCUUUACUGUGUUCUUGUAGCAAGUAGCAUGCUUUUCAUUUUCUUGUCCUCUCAUAUUACUAGGGUCAAAGACAGACACUGCUUUUCAGUGCAACCAUGCCGAAGAAGAUUCAGAACUUUGCCAAAAGUGCCCUAGUAAAACCGAUUACAAUUAAUGUUGGCCGAGCAGGCGCUGCCAGCCUGGAUGUCAUACAGGUAUGUCAACGUCAGUCUCUUGCUGGACAGGAAUGGAAAGGCUGCCAUUACAGAUUACUUGUCAUAACACUUUUUUUAGUUUUACAAGCGAAAUGUGGGAAGAAUAUUACAAACUCCAUAAGCUGGCAAGAUAGCCAAGUUGGUUAUUGACCCUACUGUACUAUUUCUUUCACCUCUUAAAACGUCAGGGUUGCAUUUCUAGAAGAGUUCACUCUGCAUCUGAACAAUCCAAAGUCAAUACAAUUAGUACUAUUGAUUUAGACAAUAUUAUCUCAUGACAUAAUAGAAAUCUACAAAUCUAACGGUAAAUCCUCUAUUAUUUUGUUUAUUACAGGAAGUAGAGUAUGUGAAGGAGGAAGCAAAGAUGGUUUACUUACUUGAAUGCCUGCAGAAGACACCACCUCCUGUGAGUAACACUUGUAAUUCAUUGCCAUCAUGCUUACACACAACAAAUUGUGAUCCGUGCAGAUUUAGCCUAAGUAUGAACUGCAGGCGAAUGGCUUGUUUGAUCUGUCGUCCUGCUUUUUGAGAGAAUAAAAGGGUUACCUACUCGCUUUUAAUGUUGGGCGCUCUUUGCAUUCUAUAUGUACCCCAUAAAUACUAAAUGUAAAGAGUUAAAUUUUUUUAAGUGUCUCAUGUCAGAAUGUUACCAGCACAUAUACAAAAGUAUUUGCAAAAUGUAGUUUUAAAUCUUGAUCUGUUCCUAACUUGCAAUGAUUUCAGUUACUGAUUUUCACCAUACACUACUUUGGUUCCCAAUAGUGUGCUAUUGCAUUGGCUCUAUAGCUUAUGCAAAUAUGUACUUAUUCACUAUCAGCUGUUUCAACCGAUUUCUUCCCUAUGCCAGGUUCUCAUAUUUGCUGAAAAAAAGGCAGAUGUAGAUGCUAUACACGAAUACCUGCUUCUCAAAGGAGUUGAGGCUGUGGCAAUACACGGAGGGAAAGGUAUGCAUCUUUAACUUUUGCAUUCAUUCAGUAUCCCAGCUGUGUUUCCUCAAGCACAGAUCUAAAUCUCUUAGCUGUACCUUUUAGACCAAGAAGAAAGGACCAAAGCAAUCGAGGCUUUCCGUGAAGAGAAGAAGGAUGUCCUAGUAGCUACAGAUGUUGCAUCCAAAGGUUUGGACUUUCCAGCCAUUCAGCAUGUGAUAAACUAUGACAUGCCUGAGGAAAUUGAGAACUAUGGUGAGUGCAGAAUGUAGUCUAAUAUGACUAUCUAGUCUCUUUUUGGUUGUGUAAAUGCCACAAUAUGUAUUCCGGGGUUUGUUGUGAUUACAGGAACACAAACAUGUAUUCCUGAAUCUAUAUCGUUAAAAACACUAUUUAGCUCUCUUGGCUCCCCUUGCCACCUUAAAUAUAGUAAAAACUCACCUUAUUGCCAGCGCCAUUCCUGAUACGUCUCCUUGGCUGAGAUCAUCAGAAUUGACUAUCUCAGCCAAUCACAAUGCUUUCCCAUAGGAAGCUUGAGUAAUUAUUUUAUACUGAAACUGCCCAUUUAGGUUUCAGUCAGGCUUCAUACUUUGCAUCACAGUGUUGCCUGAUAUGCAUUGUUGUCAAGAGUUUGUGGCACAGAAGCACACAGUGUUUUAAAUGCUCCAGAAAACACUAGUACAUCAACAUUGUAACAUAAUUUGUUUGUUUCUUUCAGUUCACAGAAUAGGACGUACCGGUCGUUCUGGGAACACUGGAAUAGCAACCACGUUUAUCAACAAGGCGUGUGGUAAGUGUGUGAUAAAUCUAGAUUUGUCUCUGGAUGUGAGAUUUUCAGGAAACCUGUUGUUUACUCAAAUUACUUGUGCAUGCUAACUAACAUCUCAACAGAUUUACUGCAUUGCUGUUUAUGUAUGUUAAGUACUACAGGAAAUGGAAUUUCAUUAACUGAAAAUCACCAAAUAAUGCUUCUCAUGCACAAUAAUGUUUCUAUUGUAGUGCAGGUAGUUUUAUUGUGUUUGGUCUCACCACAAACUGUUUAGCACCUAGUUAUAUCCUGUCAGAGACUACAACUACCAGACCAGAACUGGUGCCAUGCUGACAUGACCCAUAAGGUUGAAACUGUGCAGUCCAUGGCUAGGUUCUGGUCACCGAUCCUUUUGGAUCAUACCCCUGCUUUGGUUUAUGAACGCUGUGUUUAAAACAGCCCCCGUUGCUUACGGGUAUCUGCGGAAAUGCAGUAUGAAGUCUGAAACAUGAUGCCUGUCUGUGCUCAUUUGCAUGUCAAGCUGGGGAUUCUGGGAUAGUUGUGCAAACAUGAUUUCUGUGCCCAAGGGGUGCUUCUCAAAGUCCAACUUGAGAUAUGCAGGUAAUGCGUAAUCGUAAUGUUUCUAGUUUCAGCGUCGGGAGUUUUAUCAUGUUUGCUCUCACCACAAACUUUUUGGCACCUAGUUAUAUGCAAGAGUGUGAAAGUAGUCGUCAGUUCCCUUUGACCUGCCUGCCUGUUUUUUAUUUGUUUAUGUCUAUGAACAAGAUACAUAUUGACAAUAUAGGAAGCGUUACAGGAAUUUUGAGAUCCUGUAUUUGUUUCUGUAUGUAUUGCUGUAGGUUAGUCAUAAUAUGUACAUUAACUCUCCUGGUGCUUGCAUUAUUCUUUUAGAAUUUUUUUUUUUGUUUUUUUGUUUUUUUGUUUAUUGAAGUGUGGGGUUAAACAUUUGGAUUUUUCCCCUUUGUUUCAUGAUUUCCCUCCCUUUCAGAUGAAUCUGUGCUGAUGGAUCUUAAGGCUCUUCUCAUGGAAGCGAAGCAGCGCGUACCCCCUGUGCUACAGGUACUCAACGGCAGCGAUGACAACAUGUUGGACAUUGGAGGUAAGCAAUCCAAUUCAAUGUGCACUUCACCCAGUAACUGCCAUCAGCAUUGUCACACAAAUUGCUUUCUGCAUCCUUCUUUUAACCCCUUAAGGAAUGUAUGACGGUCUAUGCUGUCAUGCAGUGCUUAACGUCUGGUGACGGCAUAGACUGUCAUGCUUAAUGUACCCACAAGGAUAGAUUCCUGCUGGUACCAAGGAGCCCUAGGCACAAUUCAAUACCUGAAGGUCCUUUCUAUCAGAUGGGACCACGAUUAGUCACCCCAGACUGACAGAUGGGCCGUGCUUUAAAUCUCUUCAGCUGAGCUAUCGCAUUCAUGAUAACAUUGUGGUAGAAUUAGCACAUGUGAGAUCACAGGUCACAGGUUCGAAUCCCGGCAGGUAGAUAAAAUGAGUACCAUUAAAUUGGGUAAUAGGUAAUAUGGAUGUUGGAUGUUGGGUUAAGGUAAUAUGCCCAGGACCUACUUGAAAACCAGAGUAAUCUAAAUGUGCCUUACCUGGUAUACUUCGUUGUUAUUAUUAUGAGUUUGUUUUUAUUUCCGUGUGCUCUACUACCUGUUGGUUGCUUCAUAUUUAUUGUUCCUCUUUUCAGAUGAAAGGGGUUGUGCUUUUUGUGGUGGCUUGGGUCAUCGUAUCACCGACUGCCCCAAAUUGGAGGCCAUGCAGACAAAGCAGGUCAGCACCAUUGGAAGAAAGGACUACCUGGCCACCAGCUCCAUGGACUUCUAAGGAGGAACAUCCAUCAGGAUUAUUUAUUAGUGGUGUCUGCAGGCUGAAUUGCUAUGAACGUCUAGAUCAUCACAGUGCUUGUUAUUCGUAUUGUACUACACUCUGUGUAAUAUUCGUAGAUACAGAGACUCUUCAUUUUGUUGAAACAAAACACGUAGUUCAUAGUAAGGCUGGCGAUGCACUUUUCCAAUAGUUCAUUAAAACGGACAAAAGACUUGAGUUUCUGUGAAACGUAUUUAGUACCAAGGGAUUUAAAGGAAUUGAUUCACAAAACUGCUCCAGUUUAUUUUCACUUUAAUUUGUUCUUAUAAAGCUUUUUGUCUGCUGAAAAAAUAUAUUCCAUAUCCCUUUCUCAUUUUUCUAUGCUCUAUUUAUGCAGCAAGAUAGUUUAAAAGUUUGAAAUUGAAUCACAGAGAACAUCAAACAUGAUUGUAUUUUCCACAAGCACUCUAUUUUUCUUUUCCUUUCCAUCUUGUAUUAAAACAAUAAAUAAUUGAAA
Molecule: long non-coding RNA, 6644 nt
Filed under: Pelobates cultripes (western spadefoot toad)
Lineage: Eukaryota; Metazoa; Chordata; Amphibia; Anura; Pelobatidae
Source: RNAcentral